RNAcentral lists this ribosomal RNA (552 nucleotides) under Halobacillus sp. TSK3. Its description in RNAcentral is "bacterial SSU rRNA". It matches the Rfam family "Bacterial small subunit ribosomal RNA", at positions 9 to 526 of the family's 1533-position model. Lineage: Bacteria; Bacillati; Bacillota; Bacilli; Caryophanales; Bacillaceae. The record is from RNAcentral.
GAGUUUGAUCCUGGCUCAGGACGAACGCUGGCGGCGUGCCUAAUACAUGCAAGUCGAGCGCGGGAAGCGAGCUGAUCCUCUUCGGAGGUGACGCUCGUGGAACGAGCGGCGGACGGGUGAGUAACACGUGGGCAACCUGCCUGUAAGAUCGGAAUAACCCCGGGAAACCGGAGCUAAUGCCGGGUAAUACUUUUCUUCGCAUGAAGGAAAGUUGAAAGAUGGCUUCUCGCUAUCACUUACAGAUGGGCCCGCGGCGCAUUAGCUAGUUGGUGAGGUAACGGCUCACCAAGGCAACGAUGCGUAGCCGACCUGAGAGGGUGAUCGGCCACACUGGGACUGAGACACGGCCCAGACUCCUACGGGAGGCAGCAGUAGGGAAUCUUCCGCAAUGGACGAAAGUCUGACGGAGCAACGCCGCGUGAACGAUGAAGGUUUUCGGAUCGUAAAGUUCUGUUGUUAGGGAAGAACAAGUACCGUGCGAAUAGAGCGGYACCUUGACGGUACCUAACGAGAAAGCCCCGGCUAACUACGUGCCAGCAGCCGCGGUAAUAC